This 636-nucleotide ribosomal RNA is filed under the name Bacillus aerius. RNAcentral describes it as "bacterial SSU rRNA". It matches the Rfam family "Bacterial small subunit ribosomal RNA", at positions 78 to 699 of the family's 1533-position model. The record is from RNAcentral. Lineage: Bacteria; Bacillati; Bacillota; Bacilli; Caryophanales; Bacillaceae.
GCUUGCUCCCGGAUGUUAGCGGCGGACGGGUGAGUAACACGUGGGUAACCUGCCUGUAAGACUGGGAUAACUCCGGGAAACCGGAGCUAAUACCGGAUAGUUCCUUGAACCGCAUGGUUCAAGGAUGAAAGACGGUUUCGGCUGUCACUUACAGAUGGACCCGCGGCGCAUUAGCUAGUUGGUGAGGUAACGGCUCACCAAGGCGACGAUGCGUAGCCGACCUGAGAGGGUGAUCGGCCACACUGGGACUGAGACACGGCCCAGACUCCUACGGGAGGCAGCAGUAGGGAAUCUUCCGCAAUGGACGAAAGUCUGACGGAGCAACGCCGCGUGAGUGAUGAAGGUUUUCGGAUCGUAAAGCUCUGUUGUUAGGGAAGAACAAGUGCAAGAGUAACUGCUUGCACCUUGACGGUACCUAACCAGAAAGCCACGGCUAACUACGUGCCAGCAGCCGCGGUAAUACGUAGGUGGCAAGCGUUGUCCGGAAUUAUUGGGCGUAAAGGGCUCGCAGGCGGUUUCUUAAGUCUGAUGUGAAAGCCCCCGGCUCAACCGGGGAGGGUCAUUGGAAACUGGGAAACUUGAGUGCAGAAGAGGAGAGUGGAAUUCCACGUGUAGCGGUGAAAUGCGUAGAGAUGU